This 663-nucleotide ribosomal RNA is filed under the name uncultured cyanobacterium. RNAcentral's name for it is "bacterial SSU rRNA". It matches the Rfam family "Bacterial small subunit ribosomal RNA", at positions 99 to 795 of the family's 1533-position model. Lineage: Bacteria; Bacillati; Cyanobacteriota. The record is from RNAcentral.
CGGACGGGUGAGUAACGCGUGAGAAUCUGCCUUCAGGAUGGGGACAACAGUGAGAAAUUGCUGCUAAAACCCAAUGUGCCGAGAGGUAAAAUAUUUAUAGCCUGAAGAGGAGCUCGCGUCCGAUUAGUUAGUUGGUGAGGUAAGAGCUUACCAAGACAAUGAUCGGUAGCUGGUCUGAGAGGAUGAGCAGCCACACUGGGACUGAGACACGGCCCAGACUCCUACGGGAGGCAGCAGUGGGGAAUUUUCCGCAAUGGGCGAAAGCCUGACGGAGCAAUACCGCGUGAGGGAGGAAGGCUCUUGGGUUGUAAACCUCUUUUAUUAAGGAAGAAGAAAGUGACGGUACUUAAAGAAUAAGCAUCGGCUAACUCCGUGCCAGCAGCCGCGGUAAUACGGAGGAUGCAAGCGUUAUCCGGAAUUAUUGGGCGUAAAGCGUCCGCAGGUGGCUAAUCAAGUCUGCUGUUAAAGACAGAAGCUCAACUUCUGAGCAGCGGUGGAAACUGGAAAGCUAGAGUACGGUAGGGGUUGAGGGAAUUCCCAGUGUAGCGGUGAAAUGCGUAGAGAUUGGGAAGAACACCGGUGGCGAAAGCGCUCUACUGGACUUAGACUGACACUGAGGGACGAAAGCUAGGGGAGCGAAAGGGAUUAGAUACCCCUGUAGUC